Molecule: ribosomal RNA, 498 nt
Filed under: uncultured bacterium
Lineage: Bacteria
Description: partial 16S ribosomal RNA
Rfam family: Bacterial small subunit ribosomal RNA
Source: RNAcentral
AUUGAACGCUGGCGGCAUGCCUUACACAUGCAAGUCGAACGGUAACAGGUCUUCGGAUGCUGACGAGUGGCGAACGGGUGAGUAAUACAUCGGAACGUGCCUAGUAGUGGGGGAUAACUACUCGAAAGAGUGGCUAAUACCGCAUGAGAUCUACGGAUGAAAGCAGGGGAUCGCAAGACCUUGUGCUACUAGAGCGGCCGAUGGCAGAUUAGGUAGUUGGUGGGGUAAAGGCUCACCAAGCCGACGAUCUGUAGCUGGUCUGAGAGGACGACCAGCCACACUGGGACUGAGACACGGCCCAGACUCCUACGGGAGGCAGCAGUGGGGAAUUUUGGACAAUGGGCGCAAGCCUGAUCCAGCCAUUCCGCGUGCAGGAUGAAGGCCCUCGGGUUGUAAACUGCUUUUGUACGGAACGAAACGCGCUGUGCUAAUACCACGGCGUAAUGACGGUACCGAAAGAAAAAGCACCGGCUAACUACGUGCCAGCCGCCGCGGUAA